GGCUUCGUGGUGUAGUGGUCAGCACACUCGGCGCAUAAUCGAUAGAACCGAGGUUCGAGCCCCGGCGAGGGCA
This 73-nucleotide transfer RNA is filed under the name Stegodyphus mimosarum. It matches the Rfam family "tRNA". From Rfam's summary of the family: Transfer RNA (tRNA) molecules are approximately 80 nucleotides in length. Lineage: Eukaryota; Metazoa; Arthropoda; Arachnida; Araneae; Eresidae. The record is from Rfam by way of RNAcentral.